AGACGUCAACGUAGGUUAGCGCUGGGCACCGAACGUCGUCGUGCCGGCCGACGCAGCGCCCCGUGACGACCCCGGCGGCAACUGGGUGGCUCCUGAGGAAGUUUCUAUCGACAUGGCAUGUCUUGAGACAGCCAUUUGUUGUCCAGAUACCUGCCGACACCGGCGUGGGUGACCCGGCUAGGUUCAUUUAUAUACAUAAACCUCGUCAGGUCACUGCCGUCGGCGGAGCCCGGCCCGCGCGGGUCACAGCCUGCACACAGCUGGUCGGUGCCGGGUCUGGAAGUCGGUCUUCCAGAGGACUGGUAUACCUUGGGAUUCGACGCCUCCCAGAUUCGGCCAGCUGCCCUGUGGCAUUCCUCGUCUCCCUUAGAAUUACAACGCCUUUGUUGGUGUACGCGAGGAAGACGAACAGGAACUGACGAUCUGUCUGGCCAUCCUGCGAGCUGGACUAACCCAAGACUAACCAACCUGAUCGAGAUGAGCAGGGUCGUGUCCCCGGGCAGCUUUGUCCUCGCUUUGACCUCGUGCCGCGUUCGGCGAUGUCAGCGUUCCUAAGAAGAGCCUUCGCCACUGCGUUAUGACCGUCGAGCUUCGUGUUGGUAAAGUGUUCCCGACUGAGCUGCUGGGGAACGUAGCCAACGCCGAUGGCCACACCGAGGUCAGGCCGGCGGCAGCCCAAGACAUGUCGUAGGAUGUCAAGACAGCCCAUGGGCUGCCGGCGUGGCGCUUGAUCAGGCUGUCCAGGACAUGAUUCUGGGUAUCUUCCCGGUGCCGGGGUCGCUACCGAAGUGGUGAUGACCACUGCGCACACCGACAGAAAGGCGUCCUGCCCUCAUUCCGAUUCCACCUGUUCAUCGCUCCCCGGCAGGGUUGAGCCGGAGCUCGAUAAGGCACUCUACGAGACACCAAAACUCCACUAUACCGUGAAGACGCAGCAAACUUUCUGGCGGGACUACGCCUCGGACACAAACAGCGAAACUUACCCCGAAUAGCCCCGGGCAACAAGUGUUCGGAUAAGCAACUGCAAACGCAACAGGUGGCUUGUCAUAGCGCCCCUGCUGGGCCGAUGCAACUUGCCGGAAUUUUUUGUGGUUUUGCAGACAUAGCAAAAUACAGCUGGGCCACAGACGUUUGUUCUGGCGCCGGAUUGCUGGCAGAGGGUCGGUUACAUGGGUCGAGUUUGGCUGUAACGUGUCAUAUUGUGGUGUCGGUGGCGCCUGUGGCCAAGGUUACCAGACAUCGCUUGUAUAAUGGUGCAGAAAUAAUGGGUGGUAGUGCAGCCGAGGAUAGAUAACUGAGCGAUAUAGAACACUGGUAGGGACGAUAAAAGGUGUUGCAUAGCAUUAUUUUAAUGAUAUUGCUCAUGCUCACCUGACGGUUGACGUUCCCUUAUCGUCAUGUCUCAAGGUCACUUUAUCUGGUUCUUCUGUUCUUUUGAGUGUUUUAUGUAUGUCUUGUUUCGCUGUUCUAUCGCCACUUUAUAAUUUAUAGAACUCAAUAAAAAUGCAUAUUAAUACAUA
This 1520-nucleotide long non-coding RNA is filed under the name Amphibalanus amphitrite. RNAcentral's name for it is "uncharacterized LOC122390651, transcript variant X1". The record is from RNAcentral. Lineage: Eukaryota; Metazoa; Arthropoda; Thecostraca; Balanomorpha; Balanidae.